RNAcentral lists this ribosomal RNA (1135 nucleotides) under Bacillus sp. BAB-863. RNAcentral's name for it is "bacterial SSU rRNA". It matches the Rfam family "Bacterial small subunit ribosomal RNA", at positions 201 to 1325 of the family's 1533-position model. The record is from RNAcentral. Lineage: Bacteria; Bacillati; Bacillota; Bacilli; Caryophanales; Bacillaceae.
UGAAAGACGUUUCGGCUGUCACUUACAGAUGGACCCGCGGCGCAUUAGCUAGUUGGUGAGGUAACGGCUCACCAAGGCGACGAUGCGUAGCCGACCUGAGAGGGUGAUCGGCCACACUGGGACUGAGACACGGCCCAGACUCCUACGGGAGGCAGCAGUAGGGAAUCUUCCGCAAUGGACGAAAGUCUGACGGAGCAACGCCGCGUGAGUGAUGAAGGUUUUCGGAUCGUAAAGCUCUGUUGUUAGGGAAGAACAAGUGCAAGAGUAACUGCUUGCACCUUGACGGUACCUAACCAGAAAGCCACGGCUAACUACGUGCCAGCAGCCGCGGUAAUACGUAGGUGGCAAGCGUUGUCCGGAAUUAUUGGGCGUAAAGGGCUCGCAGGCGGUUUCUUAAGUCUGAUGUGAAAGCCCCCGGCUCAACCGGGGAGGGUCAUUGGAAACUGGGAAACUUGAGUGCAGAAGAGGAGAGUGGAAUUCCACGUGUAGCGGUGAAAUGCGUAGAGAUGUGGAGGAACACCAGUGGCGAAGGCGACUCUCUGGUCUGUAACUGACGCUGAGGAGCGAAAGCGUGGGGAGCGAACAGGAUUAGAUACCCUGGUAGUCCACGCCGUAAACGAUGAGUGCUAAGUGUUAGGGGGUUUCCGCCCCUUAGUGCUGCAGCUAACGCAUUAAGCACUCCGCCUGGGGAGUACGGUCGCAAGACUGAAACUCAAAGGAAUUGACGGGGGCCCGCACAAGCGGUGGAGCAUGUGGUUUAAUUCGAAGCAACGCGAAGAACCUUACCAGGUCUUGACAUCCUCUGACAACCCUAGAGAUAGGGCUUUCCCUUCGGGGACAGAGUGACAGGUGGUGCAUGGUUGUCGUCAGCUCGUGUCGUGAGAUGUUGGGUUAAGUCCCGCAACGAGCGCAACCCUUGAUCUUAGUUGCCAGCAUUCAGUUGGGCACUCUAAGGUGACUGCCGGUGACAAACCGGAGGAAGGUGGGGAUGACGUCAAAUCAUCAUGCCCCUUAUGACCUGGGCUACACACGUGCUACAAUGGACAGAACAAAGGGCUGCGAGACCGCAAGGUUUAGCCAAUCCCACAAAUCUGUUCUCAGUUCGGAUCGCAGUCUGCAACUCGACUGCGUGAAG